CCUACGGGUGGCAGCAGUGGGGAAUAUUGGGCAAUGGGCGCAAGCCUGACCCAGCAAUGCCGCGUGAAGGAAGAAGGCUUUCGGGUUGUAAACUUCUUUGACAGGGGAAGAGAAGAAGACGGUACCCUGAAAACAAGCCACGGCUAACUACGUGCCAGCAGCCGCGGUAAUACGUAGGUGGCAAGCGUUGUCCGGAUUUACUGGGUGUAAAGGGCGUGUAGCCGGGAAGGAAAGUCAGAUGUGAAAUCUGGAGGCUCAACCUCCAAAUUGCAUUUGAAACUGUUUUCCUUGAGUGCAGGAGGGGCAGGCGGAAUUCCUGGUGUAGCGGUGAAAUGCGUAGAUAUCAGGAGGAACACCGGUGGCGAAGGCGGCCUGCUGGACUGCAACUGACGUUGAGGCCCGAAAGCGUGGGGAGCAAACAGGAUUAGAUACCCGUGUAGUC
RNAcentral lists this ribosomal RNA (442 nucleotides) under uncultured bacterium. Its description in RNAcentral is "partial 16S ribosomal RNA". It matches the Rfam family "Bacterial small subunit ribosomal RNA", at positions 338 to 795 of the family's 1533-position model. The record is from RNAcentral.